This 1372-nucleotide ribosomal RNA is filed under the name uncultured bacterium. Its description in RNAcentral is "bacterial SSU rRNA". It matches the Rfam family "Bacterial small subunit ribosomal RNA", at positions 28 to 1381 of the family's 1533-position model. The record is from RNAcentral.
GAUGAACGCUGGCGGCGUGCCUAAUACAUGCAAGUCGAGCGAACGGACGAGAAGCUUGCUUCUCUGAUGUUAGCGGCGGACGGGUGAGUAACACGUGGAUAACCUACCUAUAAGACUGGGAUAACUUCGGGAAACCGGAGCUAAUACCGGAUAAUAUUUUGAACCGCAUGGUUCAAAAGUGAAAGACGGUCUUGCUGUCACCUAUAGAUGGAUCCGCGCUGCAUUAGCUAGUUGGUAAGGUAACGGCUUACCAAGGCAACGAUGCAUAGCCGACCUGAGAGGGUGAUCGGCCACACUGGAACUGAGACACGGUCCAGACUCCUACGGGAGGCAGUAGUAGGGAAUCUUCCGCAAUGGGCGAAAGCCUGACGGAGCAACGCCGCGUGAGUGAUGAAGGUCUUCGGAUCGUAAAACUCUGUUAUUAGGGAAGAACAUAUGUGUAAGUAACUGUGCACAUCUUGACGGUACCUAAUCAGAAAGCCACGGCUAACUACGUGCCAGCAGCCGCGGUAAUACGUAGGUGGCAAGCGUUAUCCGGGAUUAUUGGGCGUAAAGCGCGCGUAGGCGGUUUUUUAAGUCUGAUGUGAAAGCCCACGGCUCAACCGUGGAGGGUCAUUGGAAACUGGAAAACUUGAGUGCAGAAGAGGAAAGUGGAAUUCCAUGUGUAGCGGUGAAAUGCGCAGAGAUAUGGAGGAACACCAGUGGCGAAGGCGACUUUCUGGUCUGUAACUGACGCUGAUGUGCGAAAGCGUGGGUAUCAAACAGGAUUAGAUACCCUGGUAGUCCACGCCGUAAACGAUGAGUGCUAAGUGUUAGGGGGUUUCCGCCCCUUAGUGCUGCAGCUAACGCAUUAAGCACUCCGCCUGGGGAGUACGACCGCAAGGUUGAAACUCAAAGGAAUUGACGGGGACCCGCACAAGCGGUGGAGCAUGUGGUUUAAUUCGAAGCAACGCGAAGAACCUUACCAAAUCUUGACAUCCUUUGACAACUCUAGAGAUAGAGCCUUCCCCUUCGGGGGACAAAGUGACAGGUGGUGCAUGGUUGUCGUCAGCUCGUGUCGUGAGAUGUUGGGUUAAGUCCCGCAACGAGCGCAACCCUUAAGCUUAGUUGCCAUCAUUAAGUUGGGCACUCUAAGUUGACUGCCGGUGACAAACCGGAGGAAGGUGGGGAUGACGUCAAAUCAUCAUGCCCCUUAUGAUUUGGGCUACACACGUGCUACAAUGGACAAUACAAAGGGCAGCGAAACCGCGAGGUCAAGCAAAUCCCAUAAAGUUGUUCUCAGUUCGGAUUGUAGUCUGCAACUCGACUACAUGAAGCUGGAAUCGCUAGUAAUCGUAGAUCAGCAUGCUACGGUGAAUACGUUCCCGGGUCU